This 468-nucleotide ribosomal RNA is filed under the name uncultured bacterium. RNAcentral's name for it is "partial 16S ribosomal RNA". It matches the Rfam family "Bacterial small subunit ribosomal RNA", at positions 28 to 507 of the family's 1533-position model. The record is from RNAcentral.
GACGAACGCUGGCGGCGUGCUUAACACAUGCAAGUCGAACGGAAAGGCCCUGCUUUUGUGGGGUGCUCGUGUGGCGAACGGGUGAGUAACACGCGAGUAACCUGCCCUUGACUGUGGGAUAACUUCAGGAAACUGGGGCUAAUACCGGAUAGGAGCUCCUGCUGCAUGGUGGGGGUUGGUAAGUUUCGGCGGUUGGGGAUGGUCUCGCGGCUUAUCAGCUUGUUGGUGGGGUAGUGGCUUACCAAGGCUUUGACGGGUAGCCUGCCUGAGAGGGUGACCGGCGACAUUGGUACUGAGGUACGGACCAGACUCCUACGGGAGGCAACAGUGGGGAAUAUUGCAGAGUGGGCGGAAGCCUGAUGCAGCAACGCCGCGUGCGGGAUGACGGCCUUCGGGUGAUAAACCGCUUUCGCCUGUGACGAAGCGGGAGUGACGGUAAUGGGUAAAGAAGCACCGGCUAACUACGUG